AGAUCAACAUUGGAUUUCUAUUUUUUGACAACUAGUGCAUCUCCAACGGUAAUAUAAAAUUCCAGCUUGCAUCUAUCUCACACACGUCUUCUCACCAACAAUAACAAAAAUAAGCAGAAAAAAAAAGAAAUAAAUAAGGUGACACCACCACUCCAAAACCCACUGAACUUCUUCUUCCCUCAACCUAGGCGUCGCCCUCAACAACAACUCUCCAUUACUUUUUAAAGCUACCACCAUCCCCAUCUUCUUCCUGGGGAUCCUCAACCCAAACCGUGAUACUCCCUCCAUCUUCUCCCUAAAUCGUCGCCUCCGGCCACGAACCAACAACCUUUCGCCGACACGGAUCUGCAACUUCAACCCUCUCCACACGCCGGUGAUUUUCAUAGCUUCCUCUCCUUCUUCCACCUUGAACCCAUUGACCACUAACCCUCUUCAACAUAACCGACCUACAUACUCCAACCAACUCCACUCAGUCGCUCCUUUCCUUCAACAUAAACUAAACUCAUCUUCUCCAAUUCAACACUGUUUUUUGUUUUGCUUUCGAAAUUGGGAAGGUUAUAUUCUGCUUGGGUGUUAUCUCUUUUUUUUUUGUAGGUUGAGUUUAAUUUACGUACCUGAUCGGGAUACCGCAAAGAUGUGAUUCAAUUAGAUGCCGCGAUGUACACGUUUCAGUUAUGAUUUGUUCCUCUUUGGACCGCCGCUUCGGUUACGGUACCGAGUUUCUUACGUUUCUCAUAAUUCAUGUGUAUCUUGUGAUAAGCUAAAAGUUGUGAUUAAAUUACAAAGUCAAAAUUUGUGCAGAAUGAACAUCCUGCUGUGGAACAAUAGAAAUAUUUUAUUUUAAUUUUAGUAUAUAUUGUAUAAUUGGCUCUGCAUUAUUAGUGUUAAAUUUGUGUAGAAUGAAGUUCCAUCCCUGUUUUAAAAGUGAUCAAACCAACAUAUAAAAUAUUGUUAAAUUAAUUAAACAUUUUCUUAUGAAUUUUUUUAUGAUAUUCUCUUUAUCAAGUAUCAGAGCUAGCAUCGGUGAGGUCGCCGAAAUAUCAUUGCUUUCCUCUGAAAAAAUGUUGAUGUUGCUGCGAAUGAAUGUGUGAUGGAGAAAAGUUAACCCCAAUUUUUUAUUGUAUUAUGAUGUUUAUACUUUUUAUUUAUUAAUCGUUUUUUUAAAAGAAGAGAAUUAUCACCACUUAGAAUUAUUAUUAUUAUUAUUAUUAUUAGUAGUAGUAUGUAGGUGUUAAAAUAAAUUUGGAUUUGGGUCAUUUGAGUGUUAGAGAAUAUGGGUCCAUUUCUCUUUUUUUUUCCUUACCUAUUUUGAGAACUUUUGUUUUGUUAAUGGUACCCCUAUAAUCUGUAACGAACCCAUGUUAUUGAUUGCUUGAUUUUCAUUGCGUGUAAAUUAAUUUUAUUAAUUAAGAUCGACCGACUUAUUUCACCAUUAUUUUCUACCAUCAAUUCAUAAUACAAGCAUGAUUCCAUUCCAUUAUCAAUAUAAAACCAUGAUUAAACCAUUUAGAAAAAUCACACAAUUCUUGAUUUAAUCUCAAACUCAUUUCCAAACACCUUUGUAAGUCAAUUGCCUUUAAAGCAUCGCCAUCAACCUCACAUAGCUUACUCUUGGGCUUUCCUACAAUGAGACCUAUUCAGUUAUUAAUUAACUGAGUAGAUGAUUGAUACACUAAAAUAAUCCCAUUUAUUCACAAACACACAUCCAAGCCUCGAUUCAACAUCAAGUAUUUUCUAUUCAAAUCAAAUUAAGAUACCUAAUCACGAUUAACACCACUUCAUUUAGAGAUGAAAAAGGAGAUGGUUUUGAGUUUUCAACUUCUCUCCUCGAUUAUUUGGAUACGAAUUCUCUUACUCGGUUAGUCAAAUAGUUGUCAUUUCUAAUCCACUUAAGAACAAAAUACAUCGAAUCAUUUUAUAAUAAGAAACGAAAAGGGAGAUGAUUUUGAGUCUUCAAUUUUUCUCCUCGAUUAUUUGAAUACAAGUUCUCUUACUUGGUUAGUCAAAUAAUUGUCGUUCCUCUACAAACCUUAAACCAAGAUUAAAUCAAAUUAUUUUCAUAAUGAGCUAAAUGAAAAGGGAGAUGACUUUGAGUUUUCAACUUCUCUCCCCAAUUGUUUGAAUACGAGUUCUCUUACUCGGUUAGUCGAACAAUUGUCAUUUUUCUGUCGACUCCUACUGUAAGUCAAAUCAUUGUCAAUCAAAACUAUACGAAAAGGGAGAUGGUCUUGAGUUUUCAAUUCCUCUUCUCAAAUGCUUGGAUAUGAGUUGUCUUACUCAGCCAUUCAAGUAUUUGUCGUUUAUUCUAAAACACAUCAACCAUACACAAACUUUUUUCAUAAUUACUCAGAUGAAACAGAAAGCGGUCUAGAGUCUUCUAUUCCCUUUCCCGACUAUUAGGAUACGAGUUGUCUUACUCGGUUAUCCGAGUAUUCGUCAUCCAUUCAAAACACCUUAACCAUCAUUAAAUCCUUUUAUAAUUAAGGAUGAAAAAUAAAAUGGUCUAGAGUCUUCUAUUCCCUUUCCUGAUUAUUAGGAUACGAGUUGUCUUACUCGGCUAUCCGAGUAUUCGUCAUCCAUUCAAAACACCUUAAUCAUCAUUAAAUCCUUUUAUAAUUAAGGAUGAAAAAGAAAGUGGUCUAGAGUCUUCUAUUCCUUUUCCCGGUUAUUAGGAUACGAGUUGUCUUACUCGACCAUCCAAGUAAUCGUCAUUCAACAAAAAUGUCUCAACGCAUCAAAUAUAUAUCUUUCUCGCCCUCAUGCGAUCAAAAUCAAUCAAAAAAAGCGUCAAACAUAUUAAUCCAACUUGUCACCCUCGUGUGAUCAAAACUCUUUUAAGAAAGAACACUGUUAAUCCUUUAUAAUGCGCACAACAAACUAGUGCUUAAGCCUCCGCCGAGAGUAGACAAACCAACGUUUAGCCUUUAGAAUGCAAUUUAAAACAGUUGUUCACUAAAAGGCACCAACCAACCGUAGUUCCCCGAACUACGAAUGCUCUGACUUCCUUAUUACACCAUAAGGAUACGUAGGCAGGAGAUUGAUGUAUCUUCGCGAGCACACUAAUAAAAAAACCUCCCCUUUCCUUUUCUAAGGUUCCCAUCCAUUUCAAUUUCUAAUAUUUUAUAACCCAAAGAUAACAAACAAACAUAAAUUAACACUCGAAACGCACAUUAGAACUAAAAGGUUUCCGUUGAGUACAACGGACGUAAGGGGUGCUAAUACCUCCCCCUUACGUAAUCCACUCCCGAACCCGAAUAUGGUUGCGACGACCAUUAUUCCAUUUCCUAAAGGUUUUAUCGAUAUUUUCCUAUCCCUUCAUUGGGAUAAAUAAAGUUCGGUGGCGACUCUGUUUGAACGUAAUUUUUUCCGCGACCAUCGCGAGGAAUCGUAUUUUUCGAGAUGCGACAUAGUGCCCAUAAAAACCGUGGCAAUUCUUUGUAUGAAUCCUUUCAGUUGCCGAAUACCUGUUCAAUAGCCUUUAUCCUCGCAAUCCACGCUUUCUUGUAAGAUGGAGUAUAAUUAUAUCUUGUUCUGAUAUAAUAUAUUAUUAUACUCACCUUCACUGAUGGGUCUUUGUUAACAAGCGACAAAAUGUCUUGACAUAUAAAUGCAACACUUAAUUUACGGUGAUCUUGUUCAACGUUAGUUGUAAUGCAACUGUGAGGUGGGUCUAUUGAAUCUAUCUCGUUUUUAGAGACGCAACCAACUGAAACUUACAAAGGAUGUUACGACAUUCGAUGACAUACCUUCUCGAAUCAGUGCGUUUCACUAUGAAAUCUGCAGAGUUAUUCAUGUGAAAUUUUUUGAUAGCUUGCACACAUUCUUCUUUAGUGCGGAACAUGUCUUCCACCUUUAACUCGCCUUCUGAUCAUGGAUACGGGUUAUAAAAAACACUGUUGGAUGUUUCAUCGUCAUGCAGAUCCAUGUUUGUCAUAUGUUGAGGCGGAUUCUAUACAUGACUUUGAGGUAAUGGCGCUGGUUGAUCAUCAUCUUCAAUGUUGUUGUUCAACAUAUGAUCGACCUGUAUCUCGGUCUCUUCUUCUUCUUCAUCAACGACGUUAACUUCUGCUUCUGGGUCGACGUCAUCUGAGUAUUGUGAAUAAAAUUCAUCAGAUUCAUCCUUAUUAGUUAUUUGAGAUUGCUGAGAUGGUAUACUUGGUUGAAGAGUAAUAUACAACUCAAUACAAUUGCAACCAGAAUGUUCGUGACUAACAGACAUAUAUUCAACAUCUUCAUCAUCCCGUACCUUUAGUGGGAAAAACUUGCAUUGACUGUUCUAAAAAAAAUGGAUUUUGAUAUGUGAUCUUUGACACAAUAACAGAUCCCAUGGAGGAUUCAAUUUGUUUUUUUAGAUGCAAGAAAUUUGAAUUUCUCUUGAUCGUAAGUCGGAUGGUAUCGGUGUUUCAAAAAUAAAACCCGUAUAACUAAGACUCAUAUGUCUCACCAUUGCAGUGAACAUUGAUAUUAUAUUUCGGUGAAGAUGACAUUGUAAUAUUUCUUGUACAAAUGAAAAUUAAUUUCCUGCUGCAGAUGAAUGUGUGUUGAUUGUUGGAUGUAGAUAGUAAGACACUUAAAUAUGUAAGUGAUGUGUCUAACAUGCAAGCAAGAUGGAAGUGAUAUGUCCAACAUGAAAACCAGAGGGAAGCCAUGUGUCACACAUGCAAGCCCUAACUCCAAUCCAAUUGGCGCUUGCUUGCAAUACUUGCACAUGGCGCCAGUCCAAUUGGCGACACCAUGUCUUGCAUGCAGACCUUGUAACCAAGCAUGCAGAGCCAUGCACGCGCCAUGUUAGGUCAAGAUGUGUCAUGCAUGAGCCUAGGGAGGCGCCAAUUUGAUUGGCUCUAGCAUGUGGCAAAUGCACAUGGGCGCCAAUUCAUUUGGCUAGCACAUGCAAUCACAAUUUUCCAAGCUUCCACACUUUUGCAUGUCACACCUUAUAAAUAGGCAAGAGACUCUCACAUUUCUCUCACACCAACACUCAUUACUUCCUCAAUAACAUCAAAUCUUUCAUCUGCAACAACCUCUUUCAUCUACACCAACCUCUUUCAUCUCCGACAAGAUGUCUCUCCUCAUAAUGGGUGAAACGCAUAGAGGAACAGUUGCAAACAUAGCAACUUAUCUAAGACUUCAAUUAUUUUGUUAUUUGUCUAGAAUACCUUUUAAUAACAUAUCAAAUUAGUAACAUGUUUUGUUGUUUCUUUUAUAGGAUGUUUCAAGGUUCCGAACUCGGGUCCACGAAUAUGUACACAUGGACCCGAUGAUUCAACCGUAUGUCGAACUCGCCGGUUUUGGACAUAUAAGAAAAAUAAUAUCUUAGUCGGUGGAUAAUAAAUCCAUUAUUGUGUUAUGUGAAAGAUGGUGUCCCGAGACAUACACAUUUUGGUUUCCAACCGGUGAGUGUACUGUGACGUUAGAAGACGUCUACAUGCUAUUGGGACUGUCUAUCGAAGGUAAAGCUGUAAAUCAUAAAACCAACUAUGCGAAUUCAAUUUGCAUGGACCUCUUGGAUGCUAAUUUGUUAGAUGAUAACUCAAGAGGUCAAGGUAUACUCCUUUCACGCCUUAAGGCAUACUAUAACAACUUACAUUUAGAUGAACAUUCUACCGAAGAGGCUCGAAUAAUAAAAACUAGGUGUUAUAUUAUACUUUUAAUUGGUUCUUUUUUAUUUCUCGAAGGUAGUGGUUAUAGUAUGCAUGUUAUGUAUUUACCUUUACUAAGACAUGUAGAUAGAAUAGGAAGUUACAACUGGGGAUCCAACCUAUCUUUAUAGCUCUUUGUGUAAAAAUUCACACAAAGACACAUCUACCUUUUCUGGAUGUGCUGUUUUGCUCCAAGAAUGAGGUUGGUCAAGACUACCGUCCCUAGCGCCUGUCAGCAACAACCCAUUCACAUUCCCGUACGCACAAAAAUGGUCGACACGUGGUAUGAGUUAUAACAGAUGUCCUAGACAUUAUAUUAUUCAGUAUCGCAAUCUCUUGGAUCACCUUCGACCGACAGAUUUCAUUUGGCAUCCAUACCUAAAUUUGGAUAAUGACCAUGAAAUCAACGAAGAAGACGCAGCCGUAUGGAUUGCUUGCACACCGAUCAUAAGAUUCACCACUGUGGAGAUGCACAACAAUGAUCGUGUGAAAUUGUAGUUCGGUAUGCUUCAACACAUCCCAGAUCCCCCAACAAACCUAGGAGAAUGACAUCUACGCAAAGUUAACGACCAAUGGAACUUUAACCCAUGGCAAAGCUUCGCUAGAUCUGAGUGUCGCAAAUGGAAGCACUGCCAUGACCAUGUCUUAACUGACGUUGUGAUGCCAACUGAAGAAAAACCAAGUCGUACUUAUAUGGCUUGGUACAAAUUAGUUGGUUUUGAGUUCAUCGCCGAGGAUAUGUACCUAUACGACCCACGCCGGGCAACUUACACACCAGACGCCUCAACAUCUAAUCCCUAACAACAUUGUCAGAUCGGCUACACACAACCCCCUAUCCGUCAAACUUUCCGUUCCACAAACACACAAAUAUACAACCCUAACAUGUCAUACACCCAACCACAAUACCAAGAUCAUACCACAUACCACCACCACCAACUAGAUCAUCAACCAGAGACCCAACAUCGCUUCACACCCAACACAUCACCCUACAAAAACCGCCUUAGCCAAAACACUCAACGACCAUUUAACACCAACCGUCCCUCCUCCUACCAAAACCAAGAAGCCCAAAUAUCUCAAAACCAAAACCUUCAACAACCAUAUCUUUACCAAACACCACAAUAAUCUUUCCAACCUUUCAUCGACGCAUCAUUCACACCAAUGUCUCCCUUCAAUCGUUCUGGUCGUCCACCAACAACUCAAACACAACUCAACUACUCUGACAUGGGUCAUAAACUCAGCUAUGGAGAUACACCUUCGAUGCAUACACAAGACUACGUUGAUUUGUCUGACUAUCUCAAUAGGCAAUCUCCUGCAGUUGAUAGUGAUGUUUCUGGGCCCUCAGAUGCUCAAACACCUGGGGUGAAUCAUCAACGUGGAUUUGGGUCAUGGGUUCGGAUAGCUAGGGGAUGUGGGACCGGUGGUCGGUUAGGUGAUCUCGGUCAUCAACAUUAGUCUUUUUUGUGUAAACGAGAUUUAAAAUUACAAAACACACAGAGGUGUCAAUCCAAUUGGCGUCUCCCUUUAACCUUUGCACAUGGGCGCCAAUUGGAUUGACAGCACCAUCUGCCAUAGCCAAUCCAAUUGGCCUCUCCUUUCUAAAUUUAAGAGGAGGCGCCAAUUGCAUUGACGUGUCCUCUUAAAAGUGAGGUAGAUUGUAAAUUUUUUUGAAA
Lathyrus oleraceus (garden pea) is the source of this 7309-nucleotide long non-coding RNA. RefSeq lists it as uncharacterized. Lineage: Eukaryota; Viridiplantae; Streptophyta; Magnoliopsida; Fabales; Fabaceae. The transcript is spliced from 3 exons. The record is from RefSeq and is a predicted model, not a curated record.